GGUUGUAAGACAAUCUUGGGAAGAUGUGUGGACUAGUGGAGGGUUUUUGGUUAACCGUUUUUCUAGUCGGUACAGGGUGGUGGAUUCGAAGAAUUAAUUGCUGAAGGAGUUGUAGGACUUAAAAGCUGGGUUGCAAAAUGAAUGCAAGACGAAAUUUAGAAGAUGGAGAAGAAAGGGAGAUUUUGUUGCUAUUGGAUGUUCUGAAUACUUAGAGCUAAAUGAUGAAAAUAAAAUAAUUUACGAGCUAAACUUUUGCUGUGAUUGGCGAUGAAUUCCGUCAUGGGGGGAAGGCAUGCAGUCUCUGAUUAUCAUCCCUUGGCCCUUAGGCUUUUUAAAUGAGGCUUUUUCCGUCUUAAUAAUAUUUCUUGUUUCUCAUCAAGAAGAUAAAUGGAGUUGUAUCUUUUCAGCCUACCAAGCAAAAUUGUUUCUAAAAAAAAAACUAUCACUAUCUAAAAGCAUUAGGAAUUAAAUUUACUGUAGUCAAGAAGAUGCUCAGUAACUGGAAAGCAUUUUUUACCUGUUUUGACACUGAAGCUUCGUUAAACCAAAAGAAAAAGGAGACAACCUAUUGGUAGAAAGGUCUUUACAAUGAUGUAUUGAUGCCUACAAAAUUAUUUUUUUUGUCCAACAUGGUUCUGACUAGUACCAUAACUUCAAGUGCUUAAAUUAUCAUGCACUUAUUAUAUUGUUGAAAACAUGGUGUUAAUUAUCUAUUCCCUUCAACUGAUAUUUAUUUAUCAUUGCUUUAGUUUUGCGCUGGAGCAAGAUGUUGAAAAGUUUAUUCAUGAUCCUGCUUGACAGCAGCUGCCUACUUCAUAUUUACGGUUAGCUGCGCAUCAGAUUGUCCAACAUUACUCGCUGCAAUCCAUGGUUCUAUUGGAUAAUAGUUUACCUGAUGGGUCUGGUUCCAAAAUUAUCGUUUGCGAUACUUCUGAAUGUCGUCUUCCAGCUAUCCGCCUUGCAGAUAUUCCUGUAAAUCUACCAGCAGAGGAAUAUAGUAGCAUAAAGGUUGCUAUUAAACAGAGGCCACAGAAGUGGUCCCAACUAGCAAGAGAUGCAAGUGCAAAUUCAUCAAAAACGAGGGAUUCCAAAAGUGUGGAAGAGAGGAAAGAGGAGUAUAAUAAAGCUAGUGCUCAAAUAUUUAACUCCAGCAGCAAUUCAGGCUGUCAUGCAAGUGAGAAAGUAGAUGCUGAUCCUAGACCACAGGAUAGUUAUCGUGGUUGUUUGAGUGCUGCAAAGGUUGAGGAGAAGAUGAUUCUGGAGUUCCUGAUAUAAAUUUUAGUAGGGGUUUGAUUGACUGUUCCACGAGUAGCAGUAGAAUAAAUAGAAGGUAGGACUGACAAGGAGCUGCCUAGUAGGCAGUACAAACCAAAUAGUAGGGUAGCCAUUCUUAGAGAUCGUGAGAUUGGCAGCAAGGACCCUGAUUAUGACAGGAGUUAUGAUAGGUAUGAAAUGCAAUCCUUUAUUCUCUUGGUUUGAUCUCAAUGUGUGUGUAUAUACAUAUAUAUUUGCAAAAUCUCUCGUUUAAAAGGUCUAUCCAAAAACAUGUUCUAAAAGUUUUCUCGCUUCAAACUCUGUUUACGAACUCUUUCCAAAACACUUCUUGGACAUUUCUCUUGUUUUUGUUGUUUUUUUUUUUGAAAAAUAAGAUAUUUUACAAAACUUCUGAAAAACUGCAUGAGCAAGGAUGUUGGCCACACACAGGGCAAUGAGCAGCAAGGCAACAUGCACCAUGGUGCGCGGAAGAUGUUGUCUUGGUGCCAUCUUUGCACAUGCGGAAGCGAACUUUCAAAUGGCAUUUACAAAGCAUUGUGGAAAACACUUUUUUUUCUUCCUAUUUUCUUCUAGAAAGUCUUUCCAGAACAUAUGUAUAUAUAUGUGUGUGUAUAUACAUAUAUAUUUGCAAAAUCUCUCGUUUAAAAGGUCUAUACAAGAACAUGUUCUAAAAGUUUUCUCGCUUCAAAUUCUGUUUACGAACUCUUUCCAAAACACUUCUUGGACGUUUCUUUUUGUUUUUGUUUUUGUUUUUUCUUUGAAAAAUAAGAUAUUUUACAAAACUUUUGAAAAACUGCAUGAGCAAGGAUGUUGGCCACACACAGGGCAAUGAGCAGCAAGGCAACAUGCACCAUGGUGCGCGGAAGAUGUUGUCUUGGUGCCAUCUUUGCACAUGCGGAAGCGAACUUUCAAAUGGCAUUUGCAAAGCAUUGUGGAAAACACUUUUUUUCUUCCUAUUUUCUUCUAGAAAGUCUUUCCAGAACAUAUGUAUAUAUAUGUGUGUGUAUAUACAUAUAUAUUUGCAAAAUCUCUCGUUUAAAAGGUCUAUACAAGAACAUGUUCUAAAAGUUUUCUCGCUUCAAAUUCUGUUUACGAACUCUUUCCAAAACACUUCUUGGACGUUUCUUUUUGUUUUUGUUUUUGUUUUUUUCUUUGAAAAAUAAGAUAUUUUACAAAACUUUUGAAAAACUGCAUGAGCAAGGAUGUUGGCCACACACAGGGCAAUGAGCAGCAAGGCAACAUGCACCAUGGUGCGCGGAAGAUGUUGUCUUGGUGCCAUCUUUGCACAUGCGGAAGCGACCUUUCAAAUGGCAUUUACAAAACAUUGUGGAAAACACUUUUUUUUCUUCCUAUUUUCUUCUAGAAAGUCUUUCCAUAACAUAUGUAUAUAUAUGUGUGUAUACUAUACAUAUAUAUUUGCAAAAUCUCUCGUUUAAAAGGUCUAUACAAGAACAUGUUCUAAAAGUUUUCUCGCUUCAAAUUCUGUUUACGAACUCUUUCCAAAACACUUCUUGGACGUUUCUUUUUGUUUUUGUUUUUGUUUUUUUCUUUGAAAAAUAAGAUAUUUUACAAAACUUUUGAAAAACUGCAUGAGCAAGGAUGUUGGCCACACACAGGGCAAUGAGCAGCAAGGCAACAUGCACCAUGGUGCGCGGAAGAUGUUGUCUUGGUGCCAUCUUUGCACAUGCGGAAGCGAACUUUCAAAUGGCAUUUACAAACAUUGGGAAAACACUUUUUUUUCUUCCUAUUUUCUUCUAGAAAGUCUUUCCAGAACAUAUGUAUAUAUAUGUGUGUGUAUAUACAUAUAUAUUUGCAAAAUCUCUCGUUUAAAAGGUCUAUACAAGAACAUGUUCUAAAAGUUUUCUCGCUUCAAAUUCUGUUUACGAACUCUUUCCAAAACACUUCUUGGACGUUUCUUUUUGUUUUUGUUUUUGUUUUUUUCUUUGAAAAAUAAGAUAUUUUACAAAACUUUUGAAAAACUGCAUGAGCAAGGAUGUUGCCACACACACGGCAAUGAGCAGCAAGGCAACAUGCACCAUGGUGCGCGGAAGAUGUUGUCUUGGUGCCAUCUUUGCACAUGCGGAAGCGAACUUUCAAAUGGCAUUUACAAAACAUUGGGAAAACACUUUUUUUUCUUCCUAUUUUCUUCUAGAAAGUCUUUCCAGAACAUAUGUAUAUAUAUGUGUGUGUAUAUACAUAUAUAUUUGCAAAAUCUCUCGUUUAAAAGGUCUAUACAAGAACAUGUUCUAAAAGUUUUCUCGCUUCAAAUUCUGUUUACGAACUCUUUCCAAAACACUUCUUGGACGUUUCUUUUUGUUUUUGUUUUUGUUUUUUUCUUUGAAAAAUAAGAUAUUUUACAAAACUUUUGAAAAACUGCAUGAGCAAGGAUGUUGGCCACACACAGGGCAAUGAGCAGCAAGGCAACAUGCACCAUGGUGCGCGGAAGAUGUUGUCUUGGUGCCAUCUUUGCACAUGCGGAAGCGAACUUUCAAAUGGCAUUUACAAAACAUUGUGGAAAACACUUUUUUUUCUUCCUAUUUUCUUCUAGAAAGUCUUUCCAGAACAUAUGUAUAUAUAUGUGUGUAUAUACAUAUAUAUUUGCAAAAUCUCUCGUUUAAAAGGUCUAUACAAGAACAUGUUCUAAAAGUUUUCUCGCUUCAAAUUCUGUUUACGAACUCUUUCCAAAACACUUCUUGGACGUUUCUUUUUGUUUUUGUUUUUGUUUUUUCUUUGAAAAAUAAGAUAUUUUACAAAACUUUUGAAAAACUGCAUGAGCAAGGAUGUUGGCCACACACACGGCAAUGAGCAGCAAGGCAACAUGGCCACACACUCGUUAGUUGUGAGCUCAACUGGGAUUGAGAGUACAAUUGUCCCGCAUAUCAUUCAUUCCAUUAGCUAAUCGCUUCUGUUGCGAUCCUUGGUGGUUCAACCCAUUUGUUCUUUCAUAUCAAUCGUAGUACAACCCAAUCGCUCUUAAGUUGACUUCUCAUACUUAUAGAUUAUGAUUCUCAAUUAUUUGGCUAAGAUAACUUCCAUCGUUGAGCCUCCCUCUACUCAUUCCAAUCACAUUUCUUAACUUUGGUUUCUCUCAUUAUUUGUUGUCAUUUGCUCAACAAGUAUUUAUAUAAAUCAUCCCAAAUCAACUCCCACUUUUCAGAUUUCCAUGGAUAUAAAAAGAAAUGGUGGCUCAUCAUUCGUACCAUUUCUUUUGUUGAUGGGCAUGAAUUACGGGUCAUUAUGAACUCACCAACAAGCAACCAACCAUUUUGACUCCUUGUUAGUACUUAAAAGUUAACAACUUUAAUCAUCUUCUACUAGAUAAAAUAAGUUGUGUUUUCAAAGUUCAUGUGUAAAGCAAAAGAGAUUGUCUUAUAGUGACUUUAACAUAGAUUACACUCCCAUUGUGAAAUAAUAUAUAACUAUAUUUAUAUCAACUAUAUAUUACAUAUAUAACAAAACCCUAAAAUAAAGUUAAGUUGUCCAAAAUAACAAACUAGCGUCCUCCUUGAAAAAUUAUAAAAAUUUCAAGUUAGAUUGUCUUGGAUUUUAGGAUGUAUUAAGGCUAUCUCCAUGUAUUAGAGAAUAUAAGAAAUUCUAUUUAACAAUUUAAAAAAUUAUAAGAUUUUUUUGUAGCCUUAUCCUUGCAAUUGAAGUAGGAGAUUAAAUCCGAAACUCUUGUCGAAAUUGGGCAAGCAUGCUAGCCUGAAAAGAUUGGUUCCGUCGGAAAACAAGAGGGGUUGGUCAAUAUCGGUUUCAGAAAGUUUCAAAUUGAAAACUUUAAAAAAUUAUUUAUAAGUCGAUCAACCCAAUUAAUAUCAACUGACACUUACUCAUCAAUGUCGAUUUUGUAAAAAAUACCAUCUCCGACCGACCGAUUAACACCGAAGUCGGGAACUUACGCAUACUAGAUAAGUGUAGAGUAUAUAUAUCUUUUUCAAAUUUGAUUAAAUUACCAAAUAUUAUAUCCAAUUCUCUCUCUACCCUUUUUUUAUCUGCGUUCCCGCCCGCCGCUCGGUGAACUCAUUUGCGCAGCUCUUUCCUCUUUCUCUUCUUUGUCUUCCUCUCGGCUUCACAAUCUUCAUCGUCAAUCUUUGAUCCAGCCUAAGAAGGCGCUGUACAUUAUAGGGUUUUAAGUAGAAGGUGAGUUUUCAGAUUGCUUUUAUAUCUUCUGUCAAGCUAUGAUGCUUUUGGUACUUAUCGACCACUUUCUCAUGCAAGAAUAUUUGAGUUUGAGAAUUAUUUGCUGAAAUUUUUAUGGGUUUAUGGAGUAUUUUCUACUUUGUUUUGGCGGAGUUGAGUUUGCUUCUUAGGUGUAGAGAAGUUUGUUCAGUGUUGUUUUUGUUUUUGAGGCUACAACUCAAUGAAAAAACUCAUUGAGUUCAUGGAAUUAGGGUUUUAUCUUGUUUAAUGGGGAACAGGCAUGUUUGGUAUUGAUUUUGUGCAUUGUACUGGUAGUCGAGAUCGCAUUGCCAUCUUACAGUUGCUUAUUCUUUUUUUUCUUAUUUUCUUGAUAGUUAUUAGACAAUUGAAACCUCAUAAUUCAACCAAAAUGGCGGCCUUCAAUCUCGUUGCGGAUAUGUAUGACCCGGCCUUGAAGCCUCGCUUGCUACAUAAACUUCUUAGGGAGCACGUUCCCGACGAUAAGCGUGCAUUUUCUGAUUAUUCAGAACUUUCAAAUGUGGUUUCUAUGAUCACAUCCCACGAUCUUCUCUCUGAAUCCUCGUCUUCCAAGGACCAAAAGCUGAUUGAUAGCUGGAAAUCCGCUGUUGAUUCCUGGGUCAACCGUUUGUUUCUUCUUCUCUCCAACGAUAUGGUAUAAGCAUGCAUUAAAUUCUAUUUAAAUAAUUUUUUUAAUAAUACAUAGCUUUUGCUUUAUACUCCCGUGGAUUUGACUAUUUGUCGGCUGCCGGGCUUAUGUGUAGCUUGUUCGAAGAACAGCUGGAACGAAGUUCAGUGGAACUUGUUAAGUUUCAUAAUCAAUGAGUUCGCUGCUGGUUAUUGAGAGAAAAUUUAUAGUUAGUGUUAAUCUAGAAAGUUUGUCGCCUUAGAGCGCCCUUUGCGCUUUGAAAACACCGUUUAAUUCUUAGAAACUGAACAUUUGAACCUUGCUUGCAUAUUUGGCAAUUCAUUGGCAUGCAGGAAGAUAGGGAAUAAUAUUGACUGUCUUUAUUACUUUGUUUUUUAGAUAUUGCUCAACUUCCUUUUGUGGGUUACUAAUUUUAGCAUCCAAUCUUUCUAAAGCCUGAUAAAUGUUGGGCGGGAAUCAUUUUACUUGGAGUGACUUGUCAACGAUGCAGCUCUAGUCGUUUCUUGGCAUCAUAUACAGAAUGGCUUCACAAGCUUUUACCUCACAUGCAGGUAACAGUUAGUUUUUUAUGGGAUUGAUUCUAUAUUAUUUCUUUACAUGUAUUAAGUGGCAAAAAUGUUAAAUUAUAGUGUACACAUGAAGAAGAAUAAGAGUUAAAUGAUAAGUUAUUCCAUCAGAACUAAGAUACCGGUUACUGUUUGGGACACAUAACUGCAAUAAUUCAACUAUGCUUUUGAGCAUGUGAUGUGGCUGGAUCGUCUUUGACAGUCGACCUGUUUGACUACAGUAAAUAUGUUUGUUCUGAAAUUUGGGUAUGAUUGGUUGUAAGAUAUUCAUCAAAAUGAGUUCUGGACAUGAUUUGUGACAAUAAGUGAUUAUUGUUUCUUGGAAAGAAUGCAAAAUCACGCAUUGGGGGUUUCCAAGCUCUUAUUCUUUUCAUUAAUAUAGGAUUGAACAAGUAAGAUAAACUACGGAUGAAAUAGCAGGUCUAACCAGCUCUCCUCGUACAUGAGGGUCCCCAAAGACAUGCAUCGGGCAUGUAUCUGAUUAGCAUAAGAUAGCCUUUGGCAACACUUAAUGAUUGUGGAGCUACUGAAGGACCUAAUGCACUGCUAUUCUUGAGCAUGGUUAUCUGAUAUUUUAUCAAGUGUUAUACAAAGUGCAAUUUUUUUUUCUUCUGAAGACACAAAAGAAUAUAUUGAUCACAAAUAGUGUGUGACGUAGUUCCAGAGCAAUGUCAAGUUCCUUCUUUUUCUGUUCCUUUUAUUUAUAUUGUUUCUGUCUUUAGCUUUACAACUUAUAAUCAUCAAUGCUUUUUUUUAUACUUGAAUGCUACCAAGAAUUUUACAACGUUUUCAUUUUUUGUGUUUUUAUUGUUCAAUAGACAGAUUCUCAGUUUCUGAAGGUGGCCUCUUGUGCUUCAAUCUAUGAUUUAUUCUCGAGGUACAUCUUCAUUUGACCUUGGCAGAAAUCUAUCACACGAAGUUGUCCCUCAAACACAACCCUUUUUUUUAUUCGAAAUGGUAACAAUGUCAUUGAUAAGAUGAAAUUAUAAAAGGAUACCUAUCAAUUGGAUUACAAAAAACUCUUCCAUCGAGUAAUAAGAGAAACUAAAUCAUAAUUAUAAAAAGGGGUAACCAAUUCACCCCAAGUGAGGGUUGUAUGUGUCACUCAAACACAAAUUGAUUUGUUAACUAUACCCCUUCCAAAAGCGAAAUUUUUAUGUGCCUUGUGUAUAUUUAACUGAAUACCUCUUAGGAUUUGUUUAUUGUUGAUUCUACAUCGACUUUGUGGUCUGUGGAUUCAACUAUUGAAUGCUGACUUGAGAAUAAUAGAUAACUGAUUGAAUCACAUUCUGUAAGUUAUUACUGUCAAGUCGUUUUAUUGCCAAUAUGAGCAUAGAACUAUUGGUUAAGGCAUAUAUCCCACCUCCAUAUGUUGUUGAGCUUAAAAAUAAAAAUUGUCUAUUUAUUUAUUUUUUAAAAUAAAAUAACCACUUUCAUUGAGCAAAAUCAAAGAAAAUUGUCUAAAACUUUUAAGCAAUAUGCUUGACCAUAUUAUUGCUUGUUUCGUGACUUUUUAAGAUGUAUCUUUUACAAAUUAGAUUGGGUAGAUUUCAAAGUGUAAAGAAAGAUGGGACUUCUUGUGCUGGGAAGGUCAUUCAACCUGUUGCAUGAUGAUAAUACUGAAGCUGUUUUGGUAAGUCCAUUUUUCAUGGACUAUUUUCAUGCAUUCAUGAGCUAAAUAAUUUUGUAACAAUGGUAUUUUAAUUAUCUAUGCCAACUGAGAUCCUCUUUUGUAAAAAUUUCUUAGUCUUUUGUGAAAUUUUUCAUCUCUCUUUUUGUACUCUUGCUUGGUAUUGGUAGUUGCAACUUUUGUUUUAAAAUAUGUAACUAUCUGCAUGUUGUUUGAUGCAGGAUAAUGCGGUUAAUCUGUUAUGCACCUUGAUAGAUUUCUUCCCCUUCACAAUCCAUCGUCAUUAUGACUCUGUAAGUGCUUUAACAAAUAAUGUGAUAUUGAUUCUGUUUUAAAUUACAAUUUUGGAACUCUGGUAGCUUUCUGACUUUUCUGUUCACUGGUGAUGUAAUCUAAGCUUCCGAAGUUUGUUAUUAUUAUCGUUAUUAUUUUUAAUUUGAUUUAGUUUAAUUUUUUUCCUUCACAAAAAAACUGCUAUAAAAAACUGGAAAGAGAGUGUUUGUAUUACCAUUAGAAGCUGAAAUAAUUAAAUUUUCUCCCAUAAUUGCACUCAACAUCUUCAGCACAUAUGGCUUCAUGCUGUCACUUGUCAGCAUGUUGUUUAUCUAUAGAUCACUAUCUUUGUAAUUCAAAAACUGACAAAGUUUAAAUUCCAUGCCAAAUAGAAAAAAAGGAUUUAUGUUGAAAUAGUUGAUUUUGUUUCUUCCUGAUGAAUUGGAUAUAUUCUAUAGGCCGAAGCUGCAAUUGUUUCAAAAAUAUUUUCAGGGAAGUGUAGUUCUAACAUGCUGAAGGUACUGUGCCUCUUAUGUAGUUUUAAUCAUAGUACAGUAGAUAUUAACGUCAAAUGUCCCCCAUAAUUUUCUCUGUGUUUUAUAUUUCAAAUUUAGAAGCUUGCCCAUUGCCUGGCAUCACUUCCAAAAUCAAAAGGAGACGAAGAUAGCUGGUCUUUACUAAUUCAGAAGAUUUUGUUAUCCAUCAAUAGUCACUUGAAUGAGGCCUUCCAAGGCAUCGGUGAAGGUAUACUGAACUGUAAAACAAGUAAAGCUAUCUCAAUUUAUGAAAAUGGUGACAAUGAUGCAUUUGAAUGUUUUUUGUAGAUUCAAAAGGCAUUGAAGUUGUAAGGUUACUGAUUCUACCAGGAAAAGAUCCUCCACCACCUUUAGGUUGUUGUUCACAAUCAGAAGGUUCCUUGGACAAAAUAAAAAAGAGCUCAGAGCGGAUGUUAACAUCUAGUAUUUCAACCUUGAUGGUUUGCUGUUCCACAAUGAUAACAAGUUCAUACAACCAUCAGGUAGCAACACGUCAUCCAUUUUUUUGUUAUGCUCAUAUUAAAAGAGGAAAUGUUCCCCUCUAUAUGAAUCUAUAUACAUCUACUGUGACACCUCACUUUCUUAAUUAAUAUAAUGAAAUAAAGAAAGUGGUGUUAAAUUGAUCUUUAUUUGUAUUAUAUCAGGUGGCAGUUCCCAUUCGCCCGUUAUUAGCUCUUGUUGAGAGAGUGCUGACGAUGGAUGGUUCUUUGCCACCCACUUCAGUGCCAUUUAUGACAUCUCUGCAGCAAGAAUCAAUGUGUUUAGAACUUCCGGUGCUGCAUUCAGUCAGUUUGGAUCUCCUCGUUGCCAUCAUUAAGAGCCUUCGCAGGUGAGGCAUCUACUAUUCAACUACACGGACUAUAUACCAUAAAACCUUUAUGCAGACCCAGACUUUUUCAGUAAUCAAUACCCAUCCAUAAACAUAUCACAUGUGCUUUCUUCCACCUCUACAAGAUGCGAUCAACAAUGAUCUUUCAUGUUUAUAUGAAUACGAAAAUGAUCCAAUGGUAUACAAAGUUUCCACUUAGAUAAGUUGGGAAGAAAAUGUGUGAAGUCUAGCCUGUCAAUUGCCACUGAAAAAAAUAUGGAUGCCAUAUUUUUGUUUAUAUAAUUAUUAUUAAAUUCCUUUUCAGUCAAUUGUUGCCACAUGCUGCAUCAAUUGUACGACUCAUUGUGAAGUACUUCAAGAAGUGUGUCUCUGCAGAACUGAGAGUAAAAGUCUACGCAGUUGCUAAGUCAUUGAUGACGUCUUUGGGUGUUGGUAAGAAUUAUAUUGUGUUUCAUUUGGCAUGGAGAUAAUUAUAAUUAUUGUUUUAAUGUCUAUAUGGAAACAUUGUUUUGGGAUGUAUACUUAUUCAAUGCCGCAUUUGAAUCAGGAAUGGCUGCAUCUCUUUCUCGAGAUGUGAUUGACAAUGUACUAGGUGAUUUGAACCCUGUAAAUAAUGAGAGUUCUGAUCCAUCUAAUGUGAAUCCAAAGGACACGCAAAGAGAUUUACCGCAACACCAUAAUAAGAGAAAACGCCCUUCAGUUCCCACUUCCAUGAAAGCGGCAGCACGAGAGGAAUGAACCAGAGGACAUUACCAGCAGCUGUAGCUAUACCUCAGUCCACUUGAGGAUAGCUGCACUUGAGGCUUUGAAGACUCUUCUUACAUCGGUGGGCAUUAUAUAUGUUAUUUGUCUCUUUGGUUAAUUAUUUUGCAUACGAAUUUAUUAAAAAAAGUUAUUAAUGGGAAUAUUUUUGGUUCAUUUGUGUCAAAUGGUUUUUAACUGCUGACUGCUUUAUUUAUUUAUUUGUUUGUUUGUUUUUCGUUGAUUAUUUGUAUAGGCUGGUGCUUUGAGAUCUGAAGAAGGAUGGCGUGCAAAAGUUGAACAUCUUUUAAUAACAACUGCAACAUCUUCUCUUCAAUGGCCACGAGCCUCGGACGACACCUUUUUCCAAGCCAAUGAAUCUAUUGAGGUUUGGGUGGAUUAUCAGUUGGCGGCAUUUCAUGCACUACUGGCUUCUUUUUUGUCUGCUGUCCAUGUACGCCCACUGGCUUUGGCUCAAGGUCUCGAGCUCUUUCGUAAAGGUAAAUCUCUUUUGAUAUUUCGUUUGAUCAUGUGGAAGGCUGGGUUUGAGAACGAGGAUGCUAGAUCACCUUAUUUAUGAGUCAAACUGAUAGGCAUUUUCUUCUUCAGGUAAACAAGAAAAUGGAACCAAACUUGGUGAGUUUUGUGCCCAUGCUCUCUUAGCCAUGGAGGUUCUAAUACAUCCGAGGGUCCUUCCCCUCUCGGAUUUCUUGCCAUUGCGCUUGAGCUCUCCUGAACCACAAGCUGCCUUUAAAUUCCAGGAAGAUCUGUACUUCAACAGUAACGAUUCUAGGAAAUUGUUGAAGGUCGGCCCGCAAAGCAUGGAGCAGAUGGCCUCCGAGGCUCUAAUUAGUGAUGAUGUGGUAGAUAACAAUGAAAUGACGUAUAGCACCUCAAAUGAUAUUGAAAAGGAGCCCUCUGCAAAUGGCAUAGCGAAUAUAGAAAUGCCCAAGAGAACCGAACAGGCCACUGCAGCAGCCAUCUCAGAAGUAGGGGUUGUAGCGGAAGAUGACGUUGAAUUUGCUAAUGCAAGUAUGAAUAGUUCCCCCAUGUCAUCAAAAUCAGAUAAAAUCGAAGAUUUUGGACGGGAUUCGAGCUCGAAUUUAUUGCUAGAAGAUGACUUUCCUGAUAUUAUUGAUGCAGAUCCUGAUACAGACUAUGAAGAGUGAAAAAGGUAUUGUCAAUCAUUGACUCAAUUUUGUAGUUUUAAGGCUUAAGGGUGUUGUUCAGAACUCAAAAUCAAUUAUUAUUGUUGUGUUCUAUUCAUGUAGCCAUAGAUGGCUUGAACUGAUGAUCGAGAAUGGUUAUGUAUAUAAAAAGGUGAAAGUUAGACAAAUUUCAAAAGCUUUGAUUGCUAGUUUCUGAUAAAUUUUCUUUCAAUCAUUUUUAUUUUUUUUCAUUCUUAGAUAAUGGGGUGCCGAUUUGCAAUAUACGUUAGGACAACGAUUAGAUGCAUUAUAGAAUAUACCAUCUUUUAAGUAAUGGUAUUAGAUACGGUAGGACAACGAUUAGAUGUAUUAUAGAAUAUACCAUCUCGUAAGUAAUAUGGUAUCUUUUUGAAGUCCUAAAAUGUUGAGGGAUAAAUUUGUGGGUAUUACAAUCUCGAGAUGUAGUUAAGAUCAACAAUAUCUAAAUAGGCAAUUAAAUAAACAAUGUCUAAAUAGACGAUUAAAUGAACCCUUUAGAAAGAGAGGCAAAAAUAAAAUGACAGAGUGAAGUUUCUUUAAAAAAACUUUUUAAAAAUUAUUGUUUUGAUAAUAACUGAUCGUAGUUAACUACUAGUGCUCAGUCUCUUUUUACAUCUUACUCUAACUUAUCAUCAUGUUUGAAUCAAUUUUUAACUUAUCAUCAUGUUUGAAUCAAUUUUAGGGUUAAGUGAAUGUCAAGUGAAUGUAUUUUGUUCUUACAACAUAUGUGUUAGUGAAUGUAUUUUGUUCAAACUCAAUUAAUUUAGGAAAAAUGUUUUAAAUAAAAAACUAUUUAAAACAUUUACAAAUAUUAAAAUUUAUAUGUUUAUUAGUAUUUUUGUUAAUUAAUUUUGAAAUUUUAGUCUGUUUUGUAAAUAUGGUUUAUUUUGCUAUUUUGAAAACAAUCCAUUUGAAUGUUGUUUUGUUUAAAUUAUUAGAAUUGUAUUAUUGGAUAAAUAGACAUUUUAAAAAAUAGCAAAAUAUUAAAACUAUUUAUACAAAAUUCCUCAAACUUUUCAUAUAUUUAAGUUUUUCUUUAAAAUUAUAUUUCAUAAAUAGUUUUUUUUUAUCCAUAACAAAUUUUCAUGAUAAAUGGUAAAGCAUAUUAAAUAUGUAAAUAGUUCAACUCAGUUAAUUGUAAUUUGGUCCAUAUCAUACUAAAAAAGUUAUAUGUAUGUUAUUUUAAAAGAGUUCAUAUCAUACAGUUUCUUAAAUUUUAGGUACCAAACUUAUAAGAUACAAAAAUCAAAGUUUAAAAAGAGUAAAAUUUUGGCAUUCUAUUUCUAGAAAAAAAACUCCUUAUAAUAAUUACUAGUAAAAAAAAAAGUUGGUUGAUUUUCAUUUUUUUUUUAAUCUCAACCUUUCAUGUUAAAACUUUAUAUAAAGAUUUUUUUUUUAAAUGACAAAUUUAACAGUAAGUCAAUUUGAUAAAUAUUGAUAGACAUUAAUAUGAUAAUAAAUAUGGAUAGAUAUUCAUAUGUUUUUAUCUGACAAUAAUAGAAGUUUAUUUAGUUUAUCUCGUUAAUAAAAUCUAAAAUGUUUGUCUAUGAUGAAUAUUUUAGUUUAUUUUUGUAUUUUAAAAAAUAUCCCUCCAAAAAACGUAAUUUUUUUCCACUAAAAGUUAUUAAAAUUUAAUAACAAGAGUUGGUGAAUUGCUACAUUGUUAUUUCAUUUAUAUGUCAUUUACAUCCCAUUGUAAUUUACAGAUUUUUUUUUUCAAAUGGUAUGGGUAAGUAAUCAGUGCGGUUUAGUGUAAGGAUUAGUUAUAUUCAAAUUAUAGCAAACUAUCUUAAUUUGAAACUUAACGGCGUCAACGACAAGCAACGGCGUCAACGACAAGCAACGGCUACAUUUUUAGGUUUAUUUACUUCAUUCAACUCUCAAAACAAUCUCCGUCGCCAAUUUCUCUCUAGAAUUUUCUUCUUCCGCCUCCGUGCACAGCGUCGAAUCUCCAAACCCUAAUUUAUAAAUGCAAUUCCGAUCCACAAAUUCUUAUGCUACCUCGAUCUCCUCUUUGGGAGCUUCUAUUCCCUAAUCUUUGAUGUCUUGCUUCGUCUGCGGUUGAGGAUCUCGGAGGACCGGAGUCACGGGAGGUCGCUGAUUUGGAUGAAGCCAUGAGUCGAUUGAUGCUCCCUUUUUCAUCUCCUAAGAAGAAUUCCAAAUCCUUGGAUGUGGCUGAUGCUGCUCCUGCCUAUCAUUUUUCAUCCGCUUGAUUUCCUUCCCUUUCUGGUUCAGCUUAUUCUGCUCUCGAUAGGGUUUCCGAGGAUGCUAUCAAUCAGGUUGAUCAGUUCCUUCGUGAGGCUUUGCAUAACCCUCGGGAGCGUCUAUCAAGUAAGUUGUUUAUUUAGCUUUCCUUUAUUGUAGAUGGUCAAUGGUGUGAUUGGUUUCAGGAGUUGUCUAAUGUCAUGUUCUGUAGAGGGAGGAGAUAGUUAAAAGUUGCUAGCUACGGCCUUCUCGAAGGUGGGCUGGAAGUGGCUGGUUGCUUCCCGGAUUUGUAUAGGCUUUUAGUUUGUUCUAGUCUUUCGAAUGCCUCAUUUAAAUCAAUGGUAUUAGAAAUUUAGAAGUAUUAUUGCCAAAAACUACAUGGUGGAUUUCAUGAAGAUGUGAUAUAUGUUUGGAACAGUAUCGUGAAACUAUGUGACAUGAUGUGCUUUUAGGUAAUCCAAGACAAAGGUUGGAUGGUUGUAAGACAAUCUUGGGAAGAUGUGUGGACUAGUGGAGGGUUUUUGGUUAACCGUUUUUCUAGUCGGUACAGGGGGUGGAUUCGAAGAAUUAAUUGCUGAAGGAGUUGUAGGACUUAAAAGCUGGGUUGCAAAAUGAAUGCAAGACGAAAUUUAGAAGAUGGAGAAGAAAGGGAGAUUUUGUUGCUAUUGGAUGUUCUGAAUACUUAGAGCUAAAUGAUGAAAAUAAAAUAAUUUACGAGCUAAACUUUUGCUGUGAUUGGCGAUGAAUUCCGUCAUGGGGGGAAGGCAUGCAGUCUCUGAUUAUCAUCCCCUUGGCCCUUAGGCUUUUUAAAUGAGGCUUUUUCCGUCUUAAUAAUAUUUCUUGUUUCUCAUCAAGAAGAUAAAUGGAGUUAUCUUUUCAGCCUACCAAGCAAAAUUGUUUCUAAAAAAAAAAACUAUCACUAUCUAAAAGCAUUAGGAAUUAAAUUUACUGUAGUCAAGAAGAUGCUCAGUAACUGGAAAGCAUUUUUUACCUGUUUUGACACUGAAGCUUCGUUAAACCAAAAAAAAAGGAGACAACCUAUUGGUAGAAAGGUCUUUACAAUGAUGUAUUGAUGCCUACAAAAUUAUUUUUUUUGUCUAACAUGGUUCUGACUAGUACCAUAACUUCAAGUGCUUAAUUAUUAUCAUGCACUUAUUAUAUUGUUGAAAACAUGGUGUUAAUUAUCUAUUCCCUUC
This 15245-nucleotide long non-coding RNA is filed under the name Cucumis sativus (cucumber). RNAcentral describes it as "long non-coding RNA (CSAT_LNC002108)". The record is from RNAcentral. Lineage: Eukaryota; Viridiplantae; Streptophyta; Magnoliopsida; Cucurbitales; Cucurbitaceae.